This 223-nucleotide ribosomal RNA is filed under the name uncultured bacterium. RNAcentral's name for it is "partial 16S ribosomal RNA". It matches the Rfam family "Bacterial small subunit ribosomal RNA", at positions 28 to 256 of the family's 1533-position model. The record is from RNAcentral.
GACGAACGCUGGCGGCGUGCUUAACACAUGCAAGUCGAACGGUGAAGCCUUCGGGUGGAUCAGUGGCGAACGGGUGAGUAACACGUGAGCAAUCUGCCCUUGACUCUGGGAUAACUUCGGGAAACCGGAGCUAAUACCGGAUAUGACAUCUGGCCGCAUGGUCUGGGUGUGGAAAGAUUUAUCGGUCAAGGAUGAGCUCGCGGCCUAUCAGCUUGUUGGGGGU